RNAcentral lists this ribosomal RNA (374 nucleotides) under uncultured bacterium. RNAcentral's name for it is "bacterial SSU rRNA". It matches the Rfam family "Bacterial small subunit ribosomal RNA", at positions 28 to 402 of the family's 1533-position model. The record is from RNAcentral.
GACGAACGCUGGCGGCGUGCUUAACACAUGCAAGUCGAGCGGUAAGGCCCUUUCGGGGGUACACGAGCGGCGAACGGGUGAGUAACACGUGGGUGACCUGCCCUCAGCUCUGGGAUAAGCCUGGGAAACCGGGUCUAAUACUGGAUAUGACUCCAUGACGCAUGUUGUGGGGUGGAAAGCCUUGUGCGGCUGAGGAUGGGCCCGCGGCCUAUCAGCUUGUUGGUGGGGUGAUGGCCUACCAAGGCGACGACGGGUAGCCGGCCUGAGAGGGCGACCGGCCACACUGGGACUGAGACACGGCCCAGACUCCUACGGGAGGCAGCAGUGGGGAAUCUUGCGCAAUGGGCGAAAAGCCUGACGCAGCGACGCUGCGU